RNAcentral lists this non-coding RNA (29 nucleotides) under Mus musculus (house mouse). The record is from RNAcentral. Lineage: Eukaryota; Metazoa; Chordata; Mammalia; Rodentia; Muridae.
UGGUAUGCCUUUUACUUUUACUUGGCCCU